GCCCCCGUAGCUCAGCGGAUAGAGCGAGGGCGUCCUAAGCCCUGCGUCGCCCGUUCGAUUCGGGCCGGGGGCGCCA
Molecule: transfer RNA, 76 nt
Filed under: Pseudomonadota bacterium
Lineage: Bacteria; Pseudomonadati; Pseudomonadota
Also listed under: 2 other names
Description: tRNA-Arg
Source: RNAcentral